Molecule: ribosomal RNA, 121 nt
Filed under: Mixta calida
Lineage: Bacteria; Pseudomonadati; Pseudomonadota; Gammaproteobacteria; Enterobacterales; Erwiniaceae
Description: partial 23S ribosomal RNA
Rfam family: Bacterial large subunit ribosomal RNA (bases 1-101)
Source: RNAcentral
UCCUGAAGGGACGUUGAAGACGACGACGUUGAUAGGCCGGGUGUGUAAGCGCAGCGAUGCGUUGAGCUAACCGGUACUAAUGACCCGUGAGGCUUAACCUUACAACGCCACAGGCGUUUUG